RNAcentral lists this long non-coding RNA (1069 nucleotides) under Hordeum vulgare. RNAcentral describes it as "long non-coding RNA (HVUL_LNC019520)". Lineage: Eukaryota; Viridiplantae; Streptophyta; Magnoliopsida; Poales; Poaceae. The record is from RNAcentral.
AAGUUAACAGAAGCACGGUGCCCCGAGGACAGCCGAGCGAAGCAAAAGCCAAACGUCCGAUUCUUAAAGCGGAGGAAACUGGCACGAGACUGCUCCUCACGCGGACGUGGCAUGGGCGUAAUCGCCGAGGUCUCAUCGCGUCGCUGAGCGUCGUCAUCCUGCCGCGAGCGGCGCGACUCCGCAAUGCGAGGAGACGGUUGAUGGACGUCCGUAGCACGGCACGACUUUGUAGGAGGCAACCAAGGGUCCUCGUCCCGAAGCGAAGCCUCAGCUCAAUGGGACACCGGAAGGGCGCCCGCAGCAACCUCACAUCCCGGAAGGACACCUGCAGCGACCUCACAGAUAAGUAGCUGGGAGGCGCUGUAAUGGCGGACCGCAGGGCCACCCGGGCUUCGUGCCGCAGCAGGGGUGGGGAGGCCGCCAGACGCUCCCUACAGGGAGAGGAUGCCACAGAGUCCAGCACAACUUCGCCGGAGGCCGCGGAAGGCACGGAAGGACGUCGUGAGGAGAUUGACGACGGUGUGCGCACAGGGCUUGGAUCCCGGUCUGAAGCCAAUGAGAAAGAGAGCGGCUCCUCCAGGAGAGCCCACGGGGCCUAUGGGGAGAGGCGCACCGGCCUGAACGGAAGAGGGGGCAGGAUCCCCGACGGCGGCGAUGGCCGCAGAGUUGUCGGGGUCGCCGGCGAGGUCGUCAUAAAAAACCAUGGCAGCUGCAGGGGGUGACGUAGGCGAGCUGACGAGCGGAGGCGGGGACAGAGGAACCCCCGAGGAUCCCAGAUCCGAGCGAACAGGGUGCAGAGGAGGACGGACGAUGGAGAUCAGGCGAGCGGCGCACCGCUAGCGAGCUCGUCGCGCUCUCAUCAUAGUUUGUUGGACAAGGCACCUGUCAUCACGAGGACAACCAAAAAGGAAACCAUGUAUAUUUAUUGAUAUUUUAAAAAAUUCAAAAAAUCAUAACUUUUGAUUCAAGUGUUGGAAUUUAGAUCCGUUUUUACUAUUGGAUUUAUCACGACGAGUUCUACAAAACUAGAUCUCAUGUGGAUAGGUUUUGAUCAACUAGUUUUCGAACA